GGCAAACAAGCGUCAGGAUCAGAAAGAUAACAGGCACCUGUUACAGCAGCCUCGGCGGCAGUGAAAUGAGCAGAAAGGAGCCAACCUUCUCCCGGAGAAGAACUGAACACCUGUUCCACACCGGGUUAUUCAUGGAGGGUGUUGAAAUAAAUCACCAAGAAACGCUUCGAGAGAAGUACUGCUGUUAGACCAUUUCAGAAGUGAGGAAACUGAGGCUCAGACAGGAGCCACCGACCUCAGGCAAGCUCUUUCUCCUCUCUUGCCUCGGUUUACCCCUCCCCAGAGUGAGGAGGCUGGAAGAGAUGCUUGCCAAGAGUUCCUUCAACUCUGCCGUAUCUCUACUGCGUCACAUUGUCCCUAUGGAUCACAAAGACCUCACUCUACAACUGCUACUUUCAUGCCACAUCGCCCGUAGCGUGGACCUGCGCUGGGCCAUGGCGAGCCCAGUGGCGGAUUCUGAUCUGUAUUUUGGCAAGUUUGACCA
Molecule: long non-coding RNA, 484 nt
Organism: Mustela lutreola (European mink)
Lineage: Eukaryota; Metazoa; Chordata; Mammalia; Carnivora; Mustelidae
Exons: 3
Source: RefSeq, a predicted model, not a curated record